This is a long non-coding RNA of Oryza sativa Japonica Group (Japanese rice), 1731 nucleotides long. RefSeq lists it as uncharacterized. NCBI's taxonomy places the organism in Eukaryota, Viridiplantae, Streptophyta, Magnoliopsida, Poales, Poaceae. The record is from RefSeq and is a predicted model, not a curated record.
GGGGCUUAUCGCCGGCCCGGCGUACAGCGCGAUCGCCAGCACGCCGCCCACGCACAGCACCACGCCGGCCAUCUUCGCCGCGCCCGACAAGCUCUUCAGCCGGAUCACUUCCACCCUGCAACCAUGAACGCAGAUCAGUAUUAAUUACUCAUUUGAUCAUUUCAGAUAGUAAAUCAAUGAUCAGCGUCAAGAAAUUGAUUAACCAGAGAUGGAUGAUUGAUUGAGCUCGCCUUAAUAGGAGUGCAAAGAAGAAGGUCACCACGGGAAUCGAAUUGGUUGUCGCCGAGGCCACCGUCGGGGAGGUGUACUUGAGGCCCAGGUUGUACAUGUUUAAGCUCAGUGUGUUCCUGCAAAUUGAAUCGAAAGCCAAGUUAAUCAGACGCAUCUUCUAUGAUUUUAUUGAUCCAAAUUAAAUCAUGCCUGCACCAUUGCUGUCUAAUCUUACCCAAGCAGAGCAUACAAGAAAAGCUUAGUGAACAACCGGAGCGACAUCGGUGGUGCAUUUCUCCUGCAAUAUGCAUGCUCAAAAUUUAGCCUGACUGACUCUAAUUCUUCCCUUCUUUUGCAAUAUUAUCGGAGAACCAAAUGAGGAAAAUUCAGUACAGUUGAUCGAUCGGUUACCUCUCAAGAACGAUGGCGAGAGGCAGCAGCAAGAGAGAGGCAGCUGCCUGGCGGUAGAAGAUGAAGACGAAGGUGUUCAUCCCAUGGUUGAAGGCUGCCUUGGAGAUAACAAACAGGCCUGUGUUGAUCAGCUGUAUGACGAUGACGAUGACAUAUGGCUUCUUGGCGUCCAUCGCUCAAUGGAAGAGUGCCAGCUAGAGUGGCAACAGGAGGGAGACGGCCGGCGAUGCCCGCGCGGCAGGAGGGGCGGCGGCCGGCGGCCCGCGCGGUGGGAGGGGCGGUGGCUGGCGGCCCGUGCGGCAGGGGCGCGGUGGCCGGCGAUGCUCACGCGGUGGGAGGGGCGGUGGCGGCGUGACGGCGGCUGAAUGACGGCGCACGCGGCGGGAGGGUGGUGGCCGGCGACGCCUACGCGGCGGGAGGGCGGCUGGAUGACAGCGCCCCGCGCGGCGUGACGGCGGCUGGACGACGGCGCGCGCGCGGCCGAAGGGGCGGCGGCCGACGGCCCGUGCGGCAGGGGCGCGGUGGCCGGUGGCCCGUGCGGCGGGAGGGCGGUGGCCGGCGACGCCCGCACGGUGGGAGGGCGGCUGGAUGACGGCGCCCCGCGCGGCGUGACAGCGGCUGGACGACGGCGCGCGCGGCCAGAGGGGCCGUGGCCGGCGCCCCGCGCGGUGGGAGGGCGGCUGGACGACGACGCGCGUGGCCAGAGGGCGGCAGCGGGACGGCGGCGCGCAGAGGCCGUUUGCGUGGAAGAGGAUGCGGGAGAAGGAAAGGGGAACUUUAGUUAGGGUUGACAGGGGCAUUUUGGUAUUUUCUAAAAAUACUGACAACACAAUACACGGUUUGAGCAACGUAUCUAAUGGAAACCUAACGGGAGGGGCAUGGAAGGGAUCAAAGCGAAAUUUCAGGGGUACAUAGAGGAUCGUGUAAAAUUCGAGGGUAUAGAAAGGAUUAUAUGAGUUUUCAUGUGUACAUAAGGGAUAUAGUCUUCUUCUUUCCCUUUUUCUAGUUUGUAUAAUAUUGAUGUGGUUAGGUUAGUGUUAACUACCUCAAUUUUCUUAAUAUGUAAUGUAAGUUGACUUAUUAGAUAUAUAUGUCUGAUCAUUUGUCUUA